AAUUCUCAACUUCAAAAGUUGUUACUAACUUAUUGAAGCUUGGAUGUGGAGGUUUGCUGGCAUCUUAGAUGUUCAGCUCCUCUUAAAUGCAUUAGUGGAAUCCCUAUUUGUUGGUCCAUCUUGGUGUGAUAAUUAUCUACACUGAGUUUGGUUCAACUGUCAGGUUGGGUUAAGGCCCUUAUCCUGGUUGUGAUAUUGCAUUAGUUUGCUUUAUCUGAUUGUGGGAAAUUAUCUGCUUUCUAACCGUCUGUGCUAUGCAGACAAUUUAUUGACU
This 274-nucleotide unclassified non-coding RNA is filed under the name uncultured Rhodocollybia. RNAcentral describes it as "sequence contains ITS2". Lineage: Eukaryota; Fungi; Basidiomycota; Agaricomycetes; Agaricales; Tricholomataceae. The record is from RNAcentral.